Molecule: ribosomal RNA, 245 nt
Filed under: uncultured Lachnospiraceae bacterium
Lineage: Bacteria; Bacillati; Bacillota; Clostridia; Lachnospirales; Lachnospiraceae
Description: partial 16S ribosomal RNA
Rfam family: Bacterial small subunit ribosomal RNA
Source: RNAcentral
UACGUAUGGAGCAAGCGUUAUCCGGAUUUACUGGGUGUAAAGGGAGUGUAGGCGGCCAGAUAAGUCUGAUGUGAAAACCCGGGGCUCAACUCCGGGAUUGCAUUGGAAACUGUAAGGCUAGAGUGUCGGAGAGGUAAGUGGAAUUCCUAGUGUAGCGGUGAAAUGCGUAGAUAUUAGGAGGAACACCAGUGGCGAAGGCGGCUUACUGGACGAUAACUGACGCUGAGGCUCGAAAGCGUGGGGAG